GUUGGAAGUGUUGUUGGUGGUGAAGGUAGUAGUAGUAGUUGCAGUAACAGCGUAUAUAAAAGUCGUGCGCUCUUCAUCUAGAGCGCAUUUGCAGACAACUUCGCAAUUCAUUGUGGUUCAGCAAAUCUGAAGGUUUAAAAAAAACCUACAUACAUACGCAAAACAGUUACUGAUCUCUCGUCUACUGCAGCUGAUGCUUCAGUGUCACAAUACGAGCCUCACAUGACAUCAAUAUUUCCUCGUGUGUAAUUCAUAACUUCUGAAAGCAACAUCCAGUCGACAUCGUAGACUAAGAAGUUUUUUUCUCUAACAUACAAGAAUCAAGAUUUAUUUGUUUUAUCCACACUCUUCUACCAAAAAUGGAUAAGCUGAUGACAAGCUUCCACCAGGGAACUGCACCAUUUAAUGCCACCUUUCAAGUUAGAGUAUAUAAUUCUUUAAGGAUGUCAGGUACAGUUUCCCUGCUCCGGACUACUAAAUUUCUCCCCGUAGAUCGGGGCGAAGCGAGUGAAGUUUUCACCAAAGCGACCCAGUACUCAACAAAAGAGGACACCCAAAGAAGUUACAUUGAAGAACUUGGUACCAACUUUAUGGAAUAUAAGAAAGACGAUUUUAAAAUCGGUCCCGUCGACGUUCAGCUUUCGAAAUCAUUUAAAGAGCUGAAAGAAAUUAAACUCUCUCCCAGCGACUUAGUAGACGGAUCAGAAAUCGGUUUCAUAGAUUCAAUAGCUAUCGAUAAGUUUACUGAAAACGAAUCGGAAAUUGGUAUUGAUCGCUGGCUCUGGUCAGAAUCACGUUAUCCCAUCACUGUUUAUCCAGUCAUGCUAAAGGCAGAUCCACAUAAAGCAGAACGAAUAAAAGAAAUGCAGAAGUAUCGUGACCUCUAUAAGUUAAAAUACGUAGAGGGCUUCCCUCUUAAGGUGAGUAUAUAUCUGGUAUUGUAAUAAAAAGAU
Molecule: unclassified non-coding RNA, 953 nt
Organism: Octopus bimaculoides (California two-spot octopus)
Lineage: Eukaryota; Metazoa; Mollusca; Cephalopoda; Octopoda; Octopodidae
Source: RefSeq, a predicted model, not a curated record